UACGAAGGGGGGCUAGCGUUGUUCGGAAUUACUGGGCGUAAAGCGCACGUAGGCGGAUUGUUAAGUUAGGGGUGAAAUCCCAGGGCUCAACCCUGGAACUGCCUUUAAUACUGGCAAUCUCGAGUCCGAGAGAGGUGAGUGGAAUUCCGAGUGUAGAGGUGAAAUUCGUAGAUAUUCGGAGGAACACCAGUGGCGAAGGCGGCUCACUGGCUCGGUACUGACGCUGAGGUGCGAAAGCGUGGGGAGCAAACAGG
This 254-nucleotide ribosomal RNA is filed under the name uncultured bacterium. RNAcentral's name for it is "partial 16S ribosomal RNA". It matches the Rfam family "Bacterial small subunit ribosomal RNA", at positions 524 to 776 of the family's 1533-position model. The record is from RNAcentral.